AACUCGUCUUCAAUAGUUGAAAGAAACUUACGUAAAGCUCUGCAAUUUAUUCUCUUGACAAUUUGUUUUGCUUUCCAACUUUUAGUUAAAAGUGACUGAUUAACAGUUUAACACACACACCGUCGUGUUAGUUUAGAUUAACGCCGCUUGGAAUUUUCUCUUAGUGUAUUCUGCUAAUGUCAGAACUCGUGAAAUCAUCGUGGUGAAAUGAGAAUAAGUUUCGUUCGCUACUGAAUAGGGUCGCCAGCACCAACUGGCGCAUUUCUAUCGACCCAUCCAUCAUCCGGCGGAAUUAAUUUCCAACCAUACUAUGACUCCUCGACUUGUUGAAGCAUUCAUAUCUAUCCCGGGUGGAAUAUCAGAUUUAAUUUUCUCCCAUAUUCAUCAGCAAAGAAAACAGGAUCUUCAUUCGCUUCGGAUCAGCUGUCUGGAUUUUGUGUACGAAAGGCUGCACGCUUUUGAACAAUGAGAUUGGCCUGCGGACGCGUCUGUGUGCGUGAUCGAUCAAGUCGUCGCACACACGGUGAGAUUUGCUGCCUGAAAACCACACGGUAACUUUAGAAAAUGAUUACGUCAGCCGUGAAAUUAGUGCGAUUCCACCAGGCGCAGGAUCGGCUGCACAGGAGAACCAAAAACACAACUUUCAUCCCACCUAUGAAUUCGCUCACAUUAUUAUUCAUCAUUCAGUAUUUAUGGCCUUCUAUACUUUGGUCUAGGGGCAAUAAACCAGACAGAACUGCAGCAACCAAGAACAUCAUCAUCUCCUUGAGAUUUGAACAAAAUAAUGGUCUGGCACUUAAUGUGAUCCAAGCAGCUGCAACUUUUGUCCGGACUCUGCUGACGAUAUUUCACCCUACACCGGCUCCCAGCUAAUGAGGAUUUCUCCGAUCGUAAUGCAACCUCUUUUUCAACUGAUUACGAAAGAGGCUUAUCACGUUACACGUUGCACCGACCAAAUAUUUUCAUUCUCGUCUGGAUCUCUGGAAUAUCGAAUUUCAUGGAAUCAAAGGCAAUUAAUUGUCUAAUUAUACACGCACGGACGAUCACCAUAGCGACGUGAAAUGGUUUUUUGUAAAACUGUUUACAGGGUCCUUCCAAUUGCUGGGGUAUACGUGAACAAAGUUACAUUUCGGCAUGUGUUUUAAGCAUGUGCGUGACUGGUUGGCCGUCUUUUGUCGUCACCACUUGAAAAACAUGGAACCAUCCAUCCGGCUAGCUACAGGCAGCAGCAGCAGCCCCCCAACGACUGGGAGCGCUCAUUAGGAACGGAUGUUGUGACACGCGAUUAAAAGCCAUCCUGAAUAUACUGUAAACAUUUCACUA
This 1323-nucleotide long non-coding RNA is filed under the name Daphnia pulex (common water flea). Its description in RNAcentral is "uncharacterized LOC124205222, transcript variant X1". The record is from RNAcentral. Lineage: Eukaryota; Metazoa; Arthropoda; Branchiopoda; Diplostraca; Daphniidae.